Triticum aestivum (bread wheat) is the source of this 133-nucleotide non-coding RNA. Lineage: Eukaryota; Viridiplantae; Streptophyta; Magnoliopsida; Poales; Poaceae. The record is from Rfam.
CACUUACUCCCUCAGUCCGGAAAUACUUGUCAUCAAAAUGAAUAAAAGAGGAUGUAUUAGAUGUAUUUUAGUUCUACAUACAUCUUUUUUGUCCAUUUUGAUGACAAGUAUUUUCGGCCUGAGGGAGUACAUG